AAUUUUAGAAACCAAAUGAAAAAUACAAGAGAAGAGGAGACUAUCCAUCCUAAGGAUCCCUAACAACAAUGUUAGAAGAAAUAGCUCCAUGCGUGUAAUUCCUUCGAAUGCGUCGAAUCUUAGUCUCAAAAGAAGCCUUCAUUUGAGUCUUCUCGAGGACAAGCUGAUCAGCAAUCUUCUUCCAAGCAGCGGAAGGCUGAGGCAUGCUAGAAGAUGAAACCUAUGACUCUCUCUGUCUCUUUGUCACUCGGUCUUCAAGUAGCUUAAUAAGU
This 272-nucleotide long non-coding RNA is filed under the name Lathyrus oleraceus (garden pea). RNAcentral's name for it is "Pisum sativum (pea) long non-coding RNA (PSAT_LNC020427)". The record is from RNAcentral. Lineage: Eukaryota; Viridiplantae; Streptophyta; Magnoliopsida; Fabales; Fabaceae.